AAAAACAUCGCUUCUCGAAAUAGCCAUGAGAAGUCAGCCUGCCCAGUGAUCAAUUAAACGGCCGCGGUACCCUGACCGUGCAAAGGUAGCGCAAUCACCUGUUCUUUAAAUAAGGACUAGUAUGAAUGGCACCACGAGGGUUACACUGUCUCCCCUUUUUAAUCAGUGAAACUGAUCUUCCCGUGAAGAAGCGGGAAUAUACAUAUAAGACGAGAAGACCCCAUGAAGCUUUAAAUUCAGAAUCAACUGCUAACAAUCAUAUCAUUCUAACAAAACAGACCUGACUUCUGACUUUCGGUUGGGGUGACCGCGGAGAAAAACAAAUCCUCCACGAUGAAAGGAACUUACUCCUUAUCCAAGAACUACAACUCUAAGAAUCAAUAAUCUGACAAAAUUGACCCAAAUUACUUUGAUCAACGAACCAAGUUACUCUGGGGAUAACAGCGCAAUCUAUUUCAAGAGCCCAUAUCGACAAAUAGGUUUACGACCUCGAUGUUGGAUCAGGGCAUCCAAGUGGCGCAACCGCUACUAACGGUUCGUUUGUUCAACGAUUAAAGCCCUACGUGAUCUGAG
This 573-nucleotide ribosomal RNA is filed under the name Chaperina fusca (brown thorny frog). Its description in RNAcentral is "partial 16S ribosomal RNA". It matches the Rfam family "Bacterial large subunit ribosomal RNA", at positions 1809 to 2609 of the family's 2925-position model. Lineage: Eukaryota; Metazoa; Chordata; Amphibia; Anura; Microhylidae. The record is from RNAcentral.